CGUGAUAAGAACCGUAUGCAAUAACGUGGCUUAAGGAUAUACCUUCAUAACACUAUAUAAUCAUCUAAUAUCUUUUUGCUGAAUUGCAUCUGUACUGUUACCCGCAGCUUCGAAAUAGGACUUCUCUUUCUUCCCUUGCAAUACAGCAAUGGCAGGUAAUUCUUCAAGGUUUACUCUGGUGACCAUUCUCAUUUUUGCCAUGGCAGUUUCUUUGAUGCUACCAGGUGAUGCACGCACAAUUGAUCCAGGUAAAACCGAAUCACACUUUUUUUGCACACAAAAAUAGUUUAAAAAUAUGUUCAAUGUAUAAUUAUACCUUGCAGGCCUUGGUGGAUUCAGGCCUAAAUAUUGCCCAGCUUGUCUUUGUGCGGCACCUCCACCACCAGGUUCCUGCUGCAAGUGCCGUGGCGGAAGUGCUAUUUCUACUGUCGCCCCGGCUACUAAGGGCUCUCCCUAGUUUGCAUUCUUAAGAUGCUUCUGAGACCUGAAUAAGUAAUUAGCGGAGUAAUAAGAGUCUCUUGGUCCAGUUGGCAUAUAAAUAUAUAUUUAUAUAUUUCAUUUCUGUAAGAUACUUUAUGGUAUGAGAUAUAAUAGUAUCGGUUCCAAGUACUGGUUUUUAUUUAAAUAAAUGUUUUUUUUUUAUUAUUUCUCAAUCAUUUAGAAUUGCAUCAUAUGCUUUAUAUAACAGUAUCCCUACAAGCUUUUAACUUCUCUUUAAUUCUUAAAAUAAGAAG
Molecule: long non-coding RNA, 734 nt
Filed under: Ricinus communis (castor bean)
Lineage: Eukaryota; Viridiplantae; Streptophyta; Magnoliopsida; Malpighiales; Euphorbiaceae
Description: long non-coding RNA (RCOM_LNC000668)
Source: RNAcentral